This is a non-coding RNA of Aegilops tauschii subsp. strangulata, 1686 nucleotides long. The record is from RefSeq and is a predicted model, not a curated record. NCBI's taxonomy places the organism in Eukaryota, Viridiplantae, Streptophyta, Magnoliopsida, Poales, Poaceae.
GAGAAGGGCGAGGGAGACAGGGUUUAAGCCAACACAGUAUCCUCGGUGGCUUCAGCAAGUAGUAAUGCAAUAGGCUAAUGUUUGAUUAGUGAAAUUUGUGCAGCAAAUAGUAGUGCAGCAGGCCACGGUGUGUGAUAUUUGUAGUGCAAUGGAUGCUGAAAUCUGUGUGCUAUUUGUAUGUGCAAUGUGCAGGCUGUGUGCAACUUCAUGUGCAAUUUCAGAAUAGAAUACUACUGUAUCUAGCUCUGAAUUACAAGAGAUUGUCAACACUUAUAUAUUCAAUGUACAAGUUCUGAAUUAGAGUUGAUUAUGACCACUUUUUGUAAACAUCCUUAUAUGUUUGUAUUGUGUCCAAGAAGUUGUCAUCUUUCCGAAGACAAAGUACGGGUUGAGUAAGCUGUUUGGUGUUGGAAUCGGCGAGGUUGGUCAUGUUGGUGGUAUUCUCUUAUGUGCACGCCUCUGAACACCCAUCAAGGGGGAAUGCUUAGGAGCAUUUGUUGUACGUAAGCACAUACGGAAAUAAGAUUUUAUCUACUUCUGAGGAUAUGGUGGUAGAAACAACAAGGAGCAUGACCAGGAUAGGAGAGUACAGAGGGCUCUGCCAGUGCACUACAUCACAGAUGUCAUCUGUAGGAAUGAUGGCAUCAACUGUCAUUUGCACGUUUACAGAUUCACAAUGGAGGUGUCAUGAUCUCUAGCGGUAGCUAGCCUGGUUUGGAGGUGUUGAUCCUUCACAUCACAUUCGGAACCGUUCGCUCUUUGGUUACGAUUUGGCUGCCAUAUAGCGGAAUCUGGCUGAAAAAGGGAAACCAAACAGGGCCAAAAAUUCUUCGCAUUAUUCAGGUAUGCAGGAGAAUAAUGGAGUUGUUCGAUCUGGAGUUUAUUCCAAGGUGCAAAAUUUACCAAAAUGAACUAUAAUGCUAAUGAUUUUGUUCCAUUUAAUUUCUUGGGAGUUGUCGCACAUUAAAUUCUUGCCGCAAUCCCUCUAUAAAUUUUUAGGCGUUCUGAAUUUUGAUGUAGCCAUUCGUCUCAUAGCUGCAAUCGGAAGGCCAAAUUCAAAGUUCGGUCUUUUUCUGGAAACUGAAACAGUGGCAUAUAGUAUUUUCUUCCACUAUAUUAUAUCCUCUUGUUUUCUAGAGAACUGAUCAUACCUAUCUUGCUGGAUUUGUUUAUGAUCUGUGUUUUACUCUGGGUGUCUCUUGACAAAAAUGGAUAUGAAUGAGAGGCGCUCCAAGGAGCAAGAGAAAUCAUGUGUAAAUACAAGUGCACUUUGAUUUUUUUAUGCCAUUUAUAUAACUAAAAUAUUAAUGAUGGUUGUACAUAGAGUUUUAGACCUGUGGCUCUUUUGUUUACAUUUAAUCAUGUGUAAAACUUGGGAACAUGUAUGGAUGGACAAUACUAUGUGGAUUUGAUCAUUUUAUUGACUAAUUAUACAGCGUAUGAACUUAUAGAGUUUAGAGUUGUUUAUCCUGUUCUAAUGCUGGAGUUAAAAGUUUCAUGUAGCUAAUGCCAUCAUCUUUAUAAUAGAGCGGCAACAUACUCCGUAAGUUUUCACCCUACUCUAGGAAGCCAUUUCAUCAGUUUUUGGCUUCUGACACACUCGGAGCAACAAAUUUUGUGCUGCUAAUUGUUCUGUCCUCUCCGUUCUCUCUCUUUGCACUUACUUGUGAUUUUUGCUUAUGUCCG